RNAcentral lists this unclassified non-coding RNA (370 nucleotides) under uncultured Weeksellaceae bacterium. Its description in RNAcentral is "contains 16S-23S intergenic spacer region". The record is from RNAcentral. Lineage: Bacteria; Pseudomonadati; Bacteroidota; Flavobacteriia; Flavobacteriales; Weeksellaceae.
UCUCUACUUGCGUAGGCAGUCUCACUAGAGUCCUCAACUGAAUGUUAGCAACUAGUGACAGGGGUUGCGCUCGUUGCAGGACUUAACCUAACACCUCACGGCACGAGCUGACGACAACCAUGCAGCACCUUGAAAAUUGCCCGAAGGAAGGUCUAUUUCUAAACCGGUCAAUUCCCAUUUAAGCCUUGGUAAGGUUCCUCGCGUAUCAUCGAAUUAAACCACAUAAUCCACCGCUUGUGCGGGCCCCCGUCAAUUCCUUUGAGUUUCAAACUUGCGUUCGUACUCCCCAGGUGGCUAACUUAUCACUUUCGCUUAGUCUCUGAAGCCGAAGCCCCAAAAACGAGUUAGCAUCGUUUACGGCGUGGACUAC